This 155-nucleotide ribosomal RNA is filed under the name Theissenia cinerea. Its description in RNAcentral is "5.8S ribosomal RNA". It matches the Rfam family "5.8S ribosomal RNA". From Rfam's summary of the family: 5.8S ribosomal RNA (5.8S rRNA) is a component of the large subunit of the eukaryotic ribosome. The record is from RNAcentral. Lineage: Eukaryota; Fungi; Ascomycota; Sordariomycetes; Xylariales; Xylariaceae.
AACUUUCAACAACGGAUCUCUUGGCUCUGGCAUCGAUGAAGAACGCAGCGAAAUGCGAUAAGUAGUGUGAAUUGCAGAAUUCAGUGAAUCAUCGAAUCUUUGAACGCACAUUGCGCCCGCCAGCAUUCUGGCGGGCAUGCCUGUUCGAGCGUCAU